AAUAGAUACCCGGGUAGUCCACGCCGUAAACGAUGAGUGCUAAGUGUUAGAGGGUUUCCGCCCUUUAGUGCUGAAGUUAACGCAUUAAGCACUCCGCCUGGGGAGUACGGCCGCAAGGCUGAAACUCAAAGGAAUUGACGGGGGCCCGCACAAGCGGUGGAGCAUGUGGUUUAAUUCGAAGCAACGCGAAGAACCUUACCAGGUCUUGACAUCCUCUGACAACCCUAGAGAUAGGGCUUCUCCUUCGGGAGCAGAGUGACAGGUGGUGCAUGGUUGUCGUCAGCUCGUGUCGUGAGAUGUUGGGUUAAGUCCCGCAACGAGCGCAACCCUUGAUCUUAGUUGCCAUCAUUUAGUUGGGCACUCUAAGGUGACUGCCGGUGACAAACCGGAGGAAGGUGGGGAUGACGUCAAAUCAUCAUGCCCCUUAUGACCUGGGCUACACACGUGCUACAAUGGACGGUACAAAGAGCUGCAAGACCGUGAGGUGGAGCUAAUCUCAUAAAACCGUUCUCAGUUCGGAUUGUAGG
This 527-nucleotide ribosomal RNA is filed under the name uncultured bacterium. RNAcentral's name for it is "bacterial SSU rRNA". It matches the Rfam family "Bacterial small subunit ribosomal RNA", at positions 777 to 1304 of the family's 1533-position model. The record is from RNAcentral.